CGGACCUGACUGCUAUCGGAUUGAUACUAAGCCAUGUGAGUCAUUGUAGCAAUACAAGGCAGACGGCUCAGUAACACGUAGUCAAUCUACCCUAUGGACGGGGAUAACCUCGGGAAACUGAGGAUAACACCCGAUAGAUCAUUAUUCCUGGAACGGUUUAUGGUCCAAACGAUUCGUCGCCGUAGGAUGGGACUGCGGCCUAUCAGCUUGUUGGUGAGGUAAUGGCCCACCAAGGCUAUUACAGGUACGGGCUCUGAGAGGAGAAGCCCGGAGAUGGGUACUGAGACACGGACCCAGGCCCUAUGGGGCGCAGCAGGCGAGAAACCUUUGCAAUGUGCGCAAGCACGACAAGGUUAAUCCGAGUGGUUCCUGCUAAAGGAAUCUUUUGUUAGUUGUAAAACCACUGACGAAUAAGGGGUGGGCAAGUUCUGGUGUCAGCCGCCGCGGUAAAACCAGCACCUCAAGUGGUCAGGAGGAUUAUUGGGCCUAAAGCAUCCGUAGCCUGUUCUGUAAGUUUUCGGUUAAAUCCAUUAGCUCAACUAAUGGGCUGCCGAAAAUACUGUAGAACUAGGGAGUGGGAGAGGUAGACGGUAUUCGGUAGGAAGGGGUAAAAUCCUUUGAUCUAUUGAGGACCACCUGUGGCGAAGGCGGUCUACCAGAACACGUUCGACGGUGAGGGAUGAAAGCUGGGGGAGCAAACCGGAUUAGAUACCCGGGUAGUCCCAGCUGUAAACGAUGCAGACUCGGUGAUGCCCUGGCUUGUGGCCAGUGCAGUGCCGCAGGGAAGCCGUUAAGUUUGCCGCCUGGGAAGUACGUACGCAAGUAUGAAACUUAAAGGAAUUGGCGGGGGAGCACCACAAGGGGUGAAGCCUGCGGUUCAAUUGGAUUCAACGCCGGG
RNAcentral lists this ribosomal RNA (898 nucleotides) under uncultured archaeon. RNAcentral describes it as "bacterial SSU rRNA". It matches the Rfam family "Archaeal small subunit ribosomal RNA", at positions 18 to 922 of the family's 1478-position model. The record is from RNAcentral.